GGGAAAAUUACCGGCAGGUGGUCUUGACCGGGAAUAAUACCCAGUUUGAUGGUGUGAAGUUUUGAAAUUACCAAGACAUGGCACCAGCAAACAAUAUUAUCCAUACAUGGUAAGAGGUAAGAAGCAUGAUGACACUGGACAAAAUUGCCCUUUCAUAAAAACAACACCCUUCGUCCCAAUCUUCCCUUUUUUCCUUUUAUCUAUUUUUUCUCUUUGCCAUUAUCCUGAGAUACGACUCUUCCUGGGGUUUGGUCCGGUGUCUCACCAAAUUUCUUCUCAAAAUCUCAAAUUAACCGAGGGAUCUUGGAGCAUUCUUCUCCUAGAGUCGAGUUCUAGCCUUUGAUCGCGUUGGAAAGCUCGGAGGAGGUGUUUUCGGGAGAGGUUUUGCCUGGAGAUUCUUGGGGUUUUAAUUUCAACCUUCGAGGUAGGGAUCUCCUGACUUCUUUACAUGUUUAAGUGUUAGUUUGAUGUACAAGAAUCAAGUUUGAUCAUUUAUUUUGAGUCUUGAAUGAAUCUGGUAUAUGCUGAAAAUUUCGUGGGUUCUGGAAAUCUGUCUUUUGGGAGCCCUUCUGCCAGGAAUCAAUUUUUGGUGUCUGAAUAACAGUUAAAGUACGUUUCAAUACGAAAAUUUCGGUACCAAGAUCAUGAAAAACCGAUAAUCACACAAUUAGUUAUGAAUUUUUGAAUACCGGCUGUUUCCUGGAUGCGCGAAUCUGUGUGUGGCUGUCUUCUUUUAAUUUUCUGGGCAUGAUGAACAUUUUGGGUGGCUUUGGGUCUUUUACAGGAGCUGCACAUUUAAGUUAAGAAGGGGUUGGCGUUGGAAUCAAGUGAUUUGGUUAAGUAUACAAUUUUUGGUGAAUUUCUAAAGCAGGGUUGGUCGCCUAGGGCGAAAAUGGUUGCGAAUCUGUUUUUCCUUUGAUUGUUGGGUUAAUCUCCUCUCGUUUCUGAACCUGGAAUUUUUACUGAGCGUAGGAAUUGUAGUCGUGCAACUUUUGGCGUUGGUUCCAAUAUUUUUGGGUUUAAGAUGAAAGAGUUAUGAUUUUUCAAUCGAAUUUACUCGUUCCCGUCCUUAAAUUCAGGUUGUUUAAUUGGAUAUAGUCUAAUGUGGAUAAUUAACUUUGCCAAUUUGACAUGUAGGGAUUUCUCUCCUCCUUUAUAUGUUUAUGAGUUGGUUUGAUGUGUUUAAGAAUGUUUAAACGUCCGUAUUUGUUGUUGGGAGAAAUCUGUCGAAACUAGAAAUCGUAAGCUGAAACACAAGUCCUACCGGUACGAGUUUUGGCCCUACCAGUAGAAAUGAUGUCCAGUAGUGUCUAUUUUUUUGAAAUUCUGGUCUUUUACCGGUAAGAGGUUGUGUCCUACAGGUAGGGAAUGAAUAAUCUGCUUCAUUUUAAAAUUUCGGACGAUCAUAACUUUAUCUUCCGGAAUCCGUUUGGUGCAUAUUAUAUAUUAAAGUUGAUGUAUGGAAAAUCUACUUUCUAAUGGUGGUAGUCUUAUAAUCAAACUCUAAACCUAUAAGAAGUUAUAGUUAAAGUACGGUAGGUUGGUUGCUAGAAUCCAUACCGAUUUUGGAGGUUAUGUCGUAUUUGGAUAUUACGGGUGAUUUGGUACACUCCUAAGUGUUCGAGGUAGAAACGUUAUAUGCAUUGGGCAUUCUUUGCCCUUAGAAUCAUUUGAGUGAGACACGAAUGUUCCUAGGUGCGUUUAACUAUUUGAAUGGUCUACCGAGCCUUAGGGUAGUAGGCUAGCACACUUGGGAAAAAGUUUGUGGACACCUAGAGAAAGUAGGAGGUUGAGUGGUUGAUUGUAUAUUAAAGUUGGAUCGGGAAUAUUUGAAUGACGAUGAUUGAUUAUAUUGAUGAAAUGAAAAUUUGAGUUACAACUAUUAAUUUCCUCUUGAACUAUAAAUCGGAAGGUGAAGUCGUCGUUUGUAGCUACUUGGAUGAAGUUGAGUUUCUGAUCAAUUAGUAAAUACUUGGUAGUAGAGUAAAUAGUAUCCAGUUAGCAUAUUCUAGAGGGUGGUUUUAAAUAUCUUCGAUGUGAGAACCGGAAAAGUGAUGAGAGAUUCCAAGGGAAGUGAGAUGAGUUUGCAGUUGGAGGUGCAGUAAGCUGCGUUUCCUGGCCUAUUUUCAGAUGGGGUGGCGGAAAAGAGGAUAAGUAUUUUGCCCGAAUUGGUAAAAUUGUUAUCUCUGUCUAUGAAACAGACACCUUUACUCUUAUUGACAAGAAAUCCAUAAAGGUUGAAAACGUUAAGGACAUUAGUUGGUCGCCUACUGAUCCCAUUCUUGCACUCUUUGUUCCUGAACUUGGAGGAGGAAACCAACCUAUAAGGGUGAGUCUCAUUCAAAUCCCUGGCAAAGAGGAGUUGACGCAGAAGAAACUUUUCAGUGUUAGUGAUUGCAAAAUGUAUUGGCAAAGCAGUGGAGAGUACCUUGCUGCGAAGGUUGAUCGGUGUACUAGUCACCAGCUGGACGUUUCAUCUAACUUGCAGGGUUGAAGGGCUUCAAUGGACAGUCAGAGUUCUACAAUGUCGAUGAGCUUAAAACCAUGGCAACAUCUUAGCAUUUUGGAGUGGAAGCGAUUACACGAAGAAGAGAAAUCAGACAGGCAAUGGCUUAGCAUGAAUCUCUUGCCUUUGUUAAAAGCACGUUGUAUUAUGUCUGUAGCAUGAAUGGGGUUUUGUUGUUGCAUUGUUUGUCAACCUGUUUUCUUUCAGAUAUUAACGGAUGAACAAGAAUAAGGGAUGUCUUCUCCAAUCAAGAGUUGAGGAGCCCAUGUUUUAUCUUUUUUACUUUCAGAAAA
Long non-coding RNA from Rhododendron vialii, 2799 nucleotides. RefSeq lists it as uncharacterized. Lineage: Eukaryota; Viridiplantae; Streptophyta; Magnoliopsida; Ericales; Ericaceae. The transcript has 3 exons. The record is from RefSeq and is a predicted model, not a curated record.